RNAcentral lists this long non-coding RNA (215 nucleotides) under Olea europaea (common olive). Its description in RNAcentral is "long non-coding RNA (OEUR_LNC006626)". The record is from RNAcentral. Lineage: Eukaryota; Viridiplantae; Streptophyta; Magnoliopsida; Lamiales; Oleaceae.
GAAAACUAAACUAUAUACAUGUGUUCAACACGUGUACACAAAUAGAGGAAACUGAAUUUAUUUAUUUAUUUAUUAUUAUUAGUAUUAUUAUUAUUUUGCUAUGUACUGGGUUUCAAAUGGAAAGACAGAGAUUUGAUAUGAUUAAAUCAUUUUCCAAGUUAAUAAAAUAUUAUAUUUUCUUCCUAAUUAUCUUAAAAGACAAUCCUUUUUAUAAU